Molecule: ribosomal RNA, 253 nt
Filed under: uncultured bacterium
Lineage: Bacteria
Description: partial 16S ribosomal RNA
Rfam family: Bacterial small subunit ribosomal RNA
Source: RNAcentral
GACGAACCGUGCGAACGUUGUUCGGAAUCACUGGGCUUAAAGGGCGCGUAGGCGGCUUGCCAAGUCGGGGGUGAAAUCUUUCGGCUCAACCGGAAAAGUGCUUUCGAUACUGGCGAGCUAGAGCGAGGUAGGGGCAGCUGGAACUUCCGGUGGAGCGGUGAAAUGCGUUGAUAUCGGAAGGAACGCCGGUGGCGAAAGCGAGCUGCUGGACCUCUUCUGACGCUGAGGCGCGAAAGCCAGGGGAGCAAACGGG